Non-coding RNA from Triticum aestivum (bread wheat), 125 nucleotides. Lineage: Eukaryota; Viridiplantae; Streptophyta; Magnoliopsida; Poales; Poaceae. The record is from Rfam.
AAAGUACUCCUUCCGUUCGGAAUUACUUGUCAUUAAAAUGGAUGAAAAUGGAUGUAUUUAGAACUAAAAUAAAUCUAGAUACAUCUAUUUCAAUGAAAACUAUUUCCGGAUGAAGGGAGUAUAUC